UCCGCUCACCGCUCCGCUUCCCGCAGAGGGGUCCCGGCCCGGAGCCGCUGCUCUGGAGAUCCCGGGGCAGCCCGGGGGCCGCCGUCGCCGCUCUUCUGCAGCUACUGCGGGAGGAGGAGAACGGUCCCCCGGCGCCCGCGCCUCCUCAGAAGCGAGACAUGCACGACUUCUUCGUGGGGCUCAUGG
Lagopus leucura (white-tailed ptarmigan) is the source of this 186-nucleotide long non-coding RNA. RefSeq lists it as uncharacterized. The record is from RefSeq and is a predicted model, not a curated record. NCBI's taxonomy places the organism in Eukaryota, Metazoa, Chordata, Aves, Galliformes, Phasianidae. The transcript is spliced from 3 exons.